Molecule: ribosomal RNA, 253 nt
Filed under: uncultured bacterium
Lineage: Bacteria
Description: partial 16S ribosomal RNA
Rfam family: Bacterial small subunit ribosomal RNA
Source: RNAcentral
UACGGAGGGGACUAGCGUUGUUCGGAAUUACUGGGCGUAAAGGGCUCGUAGGCGGCCAACUAAGUCAGACGUGAAAUCCCUCGGCUUAACCGGGGAACUGCAUCUGAUACUGGAUGGCUUGAGUUCGGGAGAGGGAUGCGGAAUUCCAGGUGUAGCGGUGAAAUGCGUAGAUAUCUGGAGGAACACCGGUGGCGAAGGCGGCAUCCUGGACCGACACUGACGCUGAGGAGCGAAAGCCAGGGGAGCAAACGGG